RNAcentral lists this unclassified non-coding RNA (476 nucleotides) under Hevea brasiliensis (rubber tree). Lineage: Eukaryota; Viridiplantae; Streptophyta; Magnoliopsida; Malpighiales; Euphorbiaceae. The record is from RNAcentral.
GAAAUUGUGAGCGGGAGAAACAGUACUAGUUGCAGGCCAAGUGAUCAGACAGUUUACCUUCUUGAUUCGGCUUACGUGUUGCAAGAGCAGGGAAAUUUGAUGGAUCUAGUUGAUCCAAAACUUGGAACAGAUUAUUCUUGGACAGAAGCUAAAACCAUUCUGGAAUUAGCGAUGAUGUGCACUAAUCCAUCACCAACUCUCAGGCCAACCACGUCUGAGGUAGUGAAAGUUAUUGAAGGAAAAACUAAAAUCAAGACCACAUCUUCAACAGUCCGGCGUUCAACAGACGAGAUUGCAUUGACUAAGGCCAUGGCUGCACUCUCUCAGCCUUCUCCAUCUGAAAGCUAUUCUACCGCAGGGCCAUCAGAAGCUACUCCUCCCAUAUCUAACAGCAACAAUAUUACCAAUGAAAUUUGAAUUCAACUUCUCCCAUUCAUGAAUAUUUCCCAGAUGAUUACUGUACUUAGACAAUGAAG